Molecule: transfer RNA, 77 nt
Filed under: Thermoanaerobaculia bacterium
Lineage: Bacteria; Pseudomonadati; Acidobacteriota; Thermoanaerobaculia
Description: tRNA-Leu
Rfam family: tRNA
About the family: Transfer RNA (tRNA) molecules are approximately 80 nucleotides in length. Their secondary structure includes four short double-helical elements and three loops (D, anti-codon, and T loops).
Source: RNAcentral
GCCGCUCUAUCCCAACUGGCAGAGGAGCCGGACUUAAAAUCCGGAAGUUCGGGGUUCGAGUCCCCGGAGCGGCACCA